GAUGAACGCUGGCGGCGUGCCUAAUACAUGCAAGUCGAGCGAACAGACGAGGAGCUUGCUCCUCUGACGUUAGCGGCGGACGGGUGAGUAACACGUGGAUAACCUACCUAUAAGACUGGGAUAACUUCGGGAAACCGGAGCUAAUACCGGAUAAUAUAUUGAACCGCAUGGUUCAAUAGUGAAAGACGGUUUUGCUGUCACUUAUAGAUGGAUCCGCGCCGCAUUAGCUAGUUGGUAAGGUAAAGGCUUACCAAGGUAACGAUGCGUAGCCGACCUGAGAGGGUGAGCGGCCACACUGGGACUGAGACACGGUCCAGACUCCUACGGGAGGCAGCAGUAGGGAAUCUUCCGCAAUGGGCGAAAGCCUGACGGAGCAACGCCGCGUGAGUGAUGAAGGUCUUCGGAUCGUAAAACUCUGUUAUUAGGGAAGAACAAAUGUGUAAGUAACUAUGCACGUCUUGACGGUACCUAAUCAGAAAGCCACGGCUAACUACGUGCCAGCCGCCGCCGUAA
This 513-nucleotide ribosomal RNA is filed under the name uncultured bacterium. RNAcentral's name for it is "partial 16S ribosomal RNA". It matches the Rfam family "Bacterial small subunit ribosomal RNA", at positions 28 to 523 of the family's 1533-position model. The record is from RNAcentral.